This 440-nucleotide ribosomal RNA is filed under the name uncultured bacterium. RNAcentral describes it as "partial 16S ribosomal RNA". It matches the Rfam family "Bacterial small subunit ribosomal RNA", at positions 338 to 795 of the family's 1533-position model. The record is from RNAcentral.
CCUACGGGAGGCAGCAGUGGGGAAUAUUGCACAAUGAGGGAAACCCUGAUGCAGCGACGCCGCGUGAGUGAAGAAGUAAUUCGUUACGUAAAGCUCUAUCAUAAGGGAAGAAAAUGACGGUACCUGAAUAAUAAGCCCCGGCUAACUACGUGCCAGCAGCCGCGGGAAUACGUAGGGGGCAAGCGUUAACCGGAUUUUCUGGGGGUAAAGGGAGCGGAAACUGUGGGGCAAGGCUGGAGUGAAAUGCCCCAGUUUAAAUGCGGGACUGCUUUGGAAACUGGCGAACUAGAGUGCGGGAGGGGUAAGCGGAAUUCCAAGUGAAGCGGUGAAAUGCGUAGAUAUUAGGAGGAACACCGGUGGCGAAGGCGGCUUACUGGACCGUAACUGACGUUGAGGGUCGAAAGCGUGGGGAGCAAACAGGAUUAGAUACCCCAGUAGUC